GUGAGUAGAGCUCAGUGGUAGAGCACGUGCUCAGCAUGCUUGAGGUCCUGGGUUCAAUCCCCGGUACCUCCA
This 72-nucleotide transfer RNA is filed under the name Camelus bactrianus (Bactrian camel). It matches the Rfam family "tRNA". From Rfam's summary of the family: Transfer RNA (tRNA) molecules are approximately 80 nucleotides in length. Their secondary structure includes four short double-helical elements and three loops (D, anti-codon, and T loops). The record is from Rfam by way of RNAcentral. RNAcentral also lists the same sequence under 2 other names. Lineage: Eukaryota; Metazoa; Chordata; Mammalia; Artiodactyla; Camelidae.